ACUUAGCAUAUCAAUAAGCGGAGGAAAAGAAACCAACAGGGAUUGCCCCAGUAACGGCGAGUGAAGCGGCAACAGCUCAAAUUUGAAAUCUGGCCCUCGGGCCCGAGUUGUAAUUUGGAGAGGAUGCUUCUGGCGCGGCGCCGUCCGAGUUCCUUGGAACAGGACGCCAUAGAGGGUGAGAGCCCCGUACGGGCGGCCGCCUAGCCUUUGCGAAGCUCCUUCGACGAGUCGAGUAGUUUGGGAAUGCUGCUCAAAAUGGGAGGUAAAUUUCUUCUAAAGCUAAAUACCGGCCAGAGACCGAUAGCGCACAAGUAGAGUGAUCGAAAGAUGAAAAGCACUUUGAAAAGAGGGUUAAAAAGUACGUGAAAUUGUUGAAAGGGAAGCGCCUGUGACCAGACUUGCGGCCCGCGGAUCAUCCGGUGUUCCUCACCGGUGCGCUCCGCGGGCCGCAGGCCAGCAUCGGCUCUCCUGGGGGGACAAAGGUCGCGGGAACGUGGCUCCUUAGGGAGUGUUAUAGCCCGCUUCGUCAUGCCUCCGGGGGGGCCGAGGACCGCGCUUCGGCAAGGAUGCUGGCGUAAUGGUCACCGGCGACCCGUCUUGAAACACGGACCAAGGAGUCAAGCAUUGGGGCGAGUGUCUGGGUGCCAAACCCGCACGCGAAAUGAAAGUAAACGCAGGUGAGAGCUUCGGCGCAUCACCGACCGAUCCUGAUGUCUUCGGAUGGAUUUGAGUAAGAGCCUUACCGCUUGGACCCGAAAGAUGGUGAACUAUGCCUGUAUAGGGUGAAGCCAGAGGAAACUCUGGUGGAGGCUCGCAGCGGUUCUGACGUGCAAAUCGAUCGUCAAAUAUGGGCAUGGGGGCGAAAGACUAAUCGAACCAUCUAGUAGCUGGUUACCGCCGAAGUU
This 905-nucleotide ribosomal RNA is filed under the name Ambrosiella xylebori. Its description in RNAcentral is "LSU rRNA". It matches the Rfam family "Eukaryotic large subunit ribosomal RNA", at positions 32 to 968 of the family's 3401-position model. Lineage: Eukaryota; Fungi; Ascomycota; Sordariomycetes; Microascales; Ceratocystidaceae. The record is from RNAcentral.